This 6328-nucleotide long non-coding RNA is filed under the name Salmo salar (Atlantic salmon). Its description in RNAcentral is "lncRNA (ENSSSAG00000091930.1)". The stretch from base 779 to 836 matches the Rfam family "tRNA", at positions 8 to 63 of the family's 71-position model. The record is from RNAcentral. Lineage: Eukaryota; Metazoa; Chordata; Actinopteri; Salmoniformes; Salmonidae.
GACUGUUUAGUGUCUGAGCACCUGACAGGACUGUUUAGUGUCUGAGCACCUGACAGGACUGUUUAGUGUCUGAGCACCUGACAGGACUGUUUAGUGUCUGAGCACCUGACAGGACUGUUUAGUGUCGUUUGUUGUUUUGUAUACGUGUUUCGUUUGUUUUUUCCUUCUUUUGAUGUAAUAAAGAAGAUGAGUAUUACACGUUCCCGCUGCACCUUGGUCCAAUCCUUACGACGCCCCGUUACCCACUCUCAUUAUUAAAGCCACGGAAGUUCAAGGCAGACUGUGGUACUGCAGGAAUUGUUUGCAAAAACAGGAUUCCUUAAAUGGACAUUAGUUUGAUCUUCAUGGUCAAUCUUCGUGUAAUUAAACACAAUUUUCGAAGACAGUCACGCUACCAAUAAUUGCUUUUAAAACACCAGAUAUAUGUCCUCGAAACCAAUCAUUUUUUUCUAUCGCAGGAUAAGGAUUAGUUGCUAAUGGAAGACUGCAGUACCCCGGUCGGCCUUCAACGCGAGUUACUCAAUGAGAAGGGGGCAGCGCUGAGCUAGCCUGCAACGUCACAUUCUGGAGUAGCUCAAAGCGCUGCAUGUUAUGUCUCCGUGAGACGCAAUCUUAUCCGAAUUAAUUAGGCUUCAAUUCGCCACUGAGUCUUCACAGAGGAAUUAGUGGUGUCACGCGAUCAAUGGCUUUGUCCAUUCAUUGGUGCAGACAGUCAGUCAAUGGUCCUGUCGUCUGCGGAUGUACUGUAGCUCGAGCAGACACUCAUCAUCUUCCUGUGUGGCUCAGUUGGUAGAGCAUGGUGUUUGCAACGCCAGGGUUGUGGGUUCGAUUCCCACGAGGGACCGGUACGGAGAAAGAAAUGUAUGAAAUGUAUGCAUUCAGUACUGUAAGUCGCUCUGGAUAAGAGUGUCUACUAAAAUGUAAAUGUAAUCAAUGCUCAAUGGUGCAGAUCAAUAAACGUGCUCCAAUUCACCGUGAUCUCUCAUUCAUUGGGGGGGGAUCAAUGUAACUAUGUGCUAUCUUACCAGCUCCUAUGGUCAUUACCACAGAGUUGGCCAACACAAACAGAUCACACAUCACAUUAUAUCUGGUCUGUCUGGUGUUACUGCACUGAAGUCAAGCUAUACCACUGAAUGUUUCUUUCAGACAACAAAGAAGAAGACAAUAAUCAUUUGAAUUCAUCCAUCCAUCCAUUGAACACAAUGUUGGUCACUAGUUUGGGGACUGAGGUGAAAAACAAAGACUGCGUCAGUUUAGCCUGGUCCCAGAUCUGUUGGUGCUGUCUUGCCAACUCACAUGGACCUUGUCAUGGAUGUGUCUGUAUACAGCACAAAUAGAUCUGGCACCAGGCUAUAGUAUCGAUUCUCUUCUGUUGUGACACCAGGCUAUAGUAUCGAUUCUCUUCUGUUGUGACACCAGGCUAUAGUAUCGAUUCUCUUCUGUUGUGACACCAGGCUAUAGUAUCGAUUCUCUUCUGUUGUGACACCAGGCUAUAGUAUCGAUUCUCUUCUGUUGUGACACCAGGCUAUAGUAUCGAUUCUCUUCUUAUUUAUCAAAACAUCUAAACAUUCCACGUUUUAUGGUUCAUAUAUAUCCUCAUUCUGUCCUCUGUAUAACUAUCAAAAACAAUCUCAUAAAGUCAGAGAAACCACUGGUUAGAAUGAUACAAAAACAAGCUAUUUCUGCUCUCUCUCUCUCUCUCUCUCUCUCUCUCUCUCUCUCUCUCUCUCUCUCUCUCUCUCUCUCUCUCUCUCUCUCUCUCUCUCUCUCUCUCUCGUAAACCUGUCAACACGAUAUGCUCUCUCAAACACACAAACUCAUCACAACAACACAACCACAUACCCAUGCCCAUGUACAAACCCAUCAGCUGAGACAGAGAAGACUUUCUCAAAGGGCUUCAUUAAGACAUUAUUAUCUCUAAUAUAUAUAUAUAUAUAUAUAUAUACUAUUUCAUUAUUAGAAACCAUCUCUGACAUAACAAACUGCAGCUAUAUGGCCAUGUUUGGAAAGGAAAACUAUCUUAUGGACAAUCUAUCUAUCUAUCUAUCUAUCUAUCUAUCUAUCUAUCUAUCUAUCUAUCUAUCUAUCUAUCUAUCUAUCUAUCUAUCUAUCUAUCUAUCUAUCUAUCUAUCUAUCUAUCUAUCUAUCUAUCUAUCUAUCUAUCUAUCUAUCUAUCUAUCUAUCUAUUCCAUCAGUUUAUCUAUCCUCCUCACCCUGUCUCUCUCCAGAGCCAAACAAGUGGCACCUCAUUUCCCUGCUCUCUGCAGAGGCUCUGUGUGUAAUACCAUCUUUCCUCACUAGGUGGCAGAGAGGCCGUUAUAAAGAGCUCAUGUCAAGCCAGUGAGACGGAUGGGCUUUUUUUUUAAAGGUUUACAAUCUAUUCAAUCUAUUCAAUCUGUAUCGCGGAAGUUCAUAUGUUGGCUCAAAAUGACCUUUACAUUUCUAUCGUGGAAUCAGUUAACGCUUCAGCUUUCCUUUUGAACAAGAGUCCUUAAAUAUCCGCUUUGAAUGCUUUCGGUUAAAGAGUGGUUCGAUGCCUUUAUUCAAAACGACUGGGCUCUGGCUGGAGAGAUUACAUGGGUUUGGAGGAAUUAUUUUAAAGCUUAAAAAACACAAUUUCCUAAGUGUGUAAAAGGACCAGAAACGUCUCUUUUUAAAGUUGGUGUAAAACCUCCCCAAAAAAAUCGUGAAUUUUAAAUAUUUCGCAAAACAGUCUUUAAAAACACCUAUAGUAUAGUAGUAGCAUUACCCUGCGUACACAACAUCCUCUUUCCAAGGUCUACGUACAAAACAUCUAGCCAGCUACGAAAACUAAGCAAACAGAUUUCCAUAACAAGGGACAGUUCCCACCUACUAUACUCUAAAAUCUAUACAGCCGACCCGGGAGACAGAGAGUACGUGAAAGGACGAAGGAUAUAGGUUCACAUCCCUCACAGCAGAGGAAGGAUAUAGCUUCACAUCCCCCACAGCAGAGGAGGAAGGAUAUAGCUUCACAUCCCCCACAGCAGAGGAGGAAGGAUAUAGCUUCACAUCCCCCACAGCAGAGGAGGAAGGAUAGAGCUUCACAUCACUCACAGCAGAGGAAGGAUAUAGCUUCACAUCCCCCACAGUAGAGGAGGAAGGAUAUAGCUUCACAUCCCCCACAGCAGAGGAAGGAUAUAGCUUCACAUCCCUCACAGUAGAGGAAGGAUAUAGCUUCACAUCCCUCACAGUAGAGGAAGGAUAUAGCUUCACAUCCCUCACAGUAGAGGAAGGAUAUAGCUUCACAUCCCUCACAGCAGAGGAAGGAUAUAGCUUCACAUCCCUCACAGCAGAGGAAGGAUAUAGCUUCACAUCCCUCACAGCAGAGGAAGGAUAUAGCUUCACAUCCCUCACAGCAGAGGAAGGAUAUAGCUUCACAUCCCUCACAGCAGAGGAGGAAGGAUAUAGCUUCACAUCCCUCACAGCAGAGGAGGAAGGAUAUAGCUUCACAUCCCUCACAGCAGAGGAGGAAGUAUAUAGCUUCACAUCCCUCACAGCAGAGGAAGGAUAUAGCUUCACAUCCCUCACAGCAGAGGAGGAAGGAUAUAGCUUCACAUCCCUCACAGCAGAGGAGGAAGGAUAUAGCUUCACAUCCCUCACAGCAGAGGAGGAAGGAUAUAGCUUCACAUCCCUCACAGCAGAGGAAGGAUAUAGCUUCACAUCCCUCACAGCAGAGGAAGGAUAUAGCUUCACAUCCCUCACAGCAGAGGAAGGAUAUAGCUUCACAUCCCUCACAGUAGAGGAAGGAUAUAGCUUCACAUCCCCCACAGCAGAGGAGGAAGGAUAUAGCUUCACAUCCCCCACAGCAGAGGAAGGAUAUAUCUUCACAUCCCCCACAGCAGAGGAAGGAUAUAUCUUCACAUCCCUCACAGUAGAGGAAGAAGGAUAUAGCUUCACAUCCCUCACAGUAGAGGAAGGAUAUAGCUUCACAUCCCUCACAGCAGAGGAAGGAUAUAGCUUCACAUCCCUCACAGCAGAGGAGGAAGGAUAUAGCUUCACAUCCCUCACAGCAGAGGAGGAAGGAUAUAGCUUCACAUCCCUCACAGCAGAGGAGGAAGGAUAUAGCUUCACAUCCCUCACAGCAGAGGAAGGAUAUAGCUUCACAUCCCUCACAGCAGAGGAAGGAUAUAGCUUCACAUCCCUCACAGCAGAGGAAGGAUAUAGCUUCACAUCCCUCACAGCAGAGGAGGAAGGAUAUAGCUUCACAUCCCUCACAGCAGAGGAGGAAGGAUAUAGCUUCACAUCCCUCACAGCAGAGGAAGGAUAUAGCUUCACAUCCCCCACAGCAGAGGAAGGAUAUAGCUUCACAUCCCUCACAGCAGAGGAGGAAGGAUAGGGCUUCACAUCCCUCACAGCAGAGGAUGAAGGAUAUAGCUUCACAUCCCCCACAGUAGAGGAAGGAUAUAGCUUCACAUCCCCCACAGCAGAGGAGGAAGGAUAUAGCUUCACAUCCCCCACAGCAGAGGAGGAAGGAUAUAGCUUCACAUCCCCCACAGCAGAGGAAGGAUAUAGCUUCACAUCCCCCACAGCAGAGGAGGAAGGAUAUAGCUUCACAUCCCCCACAGUAGAGGAAGGAUAUAGCUUCACAUCCCCCACAGCAGAGGAGGAAGGAUAUAGCUUCACAUCCCCCACAGCAGAGGAAGGAUAUAGCUUCACAUCCCCCACAGCAGAGGAAGGAUAUAGCUUCACAUCCCCCACAGCAGAGGAAGGAUAUAGCUUCACAUCCCCCACAGUAGAGGAAGGAUAUAGCUUCACAUCCCCCACAGCAGAGGAAGGAUAUAGCUUCACAUCCCCCACAGUAGAGGGGGAUGUGAAGGGGGACAUCUGUCUGUCUGUCUGUCUGUCUGUCUGUCUGUCUGUCUGUCUGUCUGUCUGUCUGUCUGUCUGUCUCAGUUAGCCCUCAUCCAUCAUCACAUUCCAACACUGUCCAGUCCAGACCUUCAGAACCAUCUCAUUGCAUCAGGAAGAAAAGUAACAGAUAGGAUAGGACAACCUUCCCCAUCACAUCCAAACAACAGCCCUUUCAUAUGGAGGAAACAGAAACAUCAGUCUUCUACUGCCUUCUGUGGAGUUACAAACACUCAGAACCAUAGAACACUCAGAACCCUAGAACACUCAGAACCCUAGAACACUCAAAACCCUAGGACACUCAGAACCAUAGAACACUCAGAACCCUAGAACACUCAGAACCCUAGAACACUCAAAACCCUAGGACACUCAGAACCAUAGAACACUCAGAACCCUAGAACACUCAAAACCCUAGGACACUCAGAACCAUAGAACACUCAAAACCCUAGGACACUCAGAACCAUAGAACACUCAGAACCCUAGAACACUCAAAACCCUAGGACACUCAGAACCAUAGAACACUCAGAACCAUAGAACACUCAAAACCAUAGAACACUCAGAACCCUAGAACACGCAGAACCCUAGAACACUCAGAACCCUAGAACACUCAAAACCCUAGAACACUCAGAACCCUAGAACACUCAAAACCCUAGGACACUCAGAACCAUAGAACACUCAGAACCAUAGAACACUCAGAACCCUAGAACACUCAGAACCCUAGAACACUCAGAACCAUAGAACACUCAAAACCAUAGAACACUCAGAACCCUAGAACACGCAGAACCCUAGAACACUCAAAACCCUAGAACACUCAAAACCCUAGAACACUCAGAACCCUAGAGCACUCAGAACCCUAGAACACUCAGAACCCUAGAACACUCAAAACCCUAGGACACUCAGAACCAUAGAACACUCAAAACCAUAGAACACUCAGAACCCUAGAACACGCAGAACCCUAGAACACUCAAAACCCUAGAACACUCAAAACCCUAGAACACGCAGAACCCUAGAACACUCAGAACCCUAGAACACUCAGAACCAUAGAACACUCAGAACCAUAGAACACUCAAAACCCUAGAACACUCAAAACCCUAGAACACUCAGAACCCUAGAACACUCAAAACCAUAGAACACUCAGACAGCAUAGAAACAACUCAAUGCUCUAAACAGCAUAUUGUCAACAUCGAUUUGUCAGAGAGAGAAAUGGUGAGGAGGAGGAAGUCUGUUCUGUGGCUCAGAAUGAAUUCAUGUAAAAUGUCUGACUGAAGGGAAGCUAUUCACUGUGACACACAAUGUCAAUGUCUGACUGGAAGGAAGCUAUUCACUGUGACACACAAUGUCAAUGUCUGACUGGAGGGAAGCUAUUCACUGUGACACACAAUGUCAAUGUCUGACUGGAGGGGAAGCUAUUCACUGUGACACACAAUGUCAAUGUCUGACUGGAGGGAAGCUAUUCACU